UCAAACUUGGUCAUUUAGAGGAAGUAAAAGUCGUAACAAGGUUUCCGUAGGUGAACCUGCGGAAGGAUCAUUACCAAAAAAGUGAGCAAUCGCUUUUAUUACCCGCUCAGUGGCCCUCUGGGUCGCUGACAGGUCAACCCUUUGUGAACCAAAAAACCUUUCGCUUCGGCAGCUGGGCCUAACCGCCCGUCAGCCUGCCGUUAGCACUUUUUCAAAAAAAACUUGUUUGUCAAAACAUUGUCUGAUAACCAAAUUUUCGAAUGAAAAUCAAAACUUUCAACAACGGAUCUCUUGGUUCCCGCAUCGAUGAAGAACGCAGC
This 320-nucleotide unclassified non-coding RNA is filed under the name uncultured fungus. RNAcentral's name for it is "partial contains small subunit ribosomal RNA, internal transcribed spacer 1, and 5.8S ribosomal RNA". The stretch from base 1 to 73 matches the Rfam family "Eukaryotic small subunit ribosomal RNA", at positions 1759 to 1831 of the family's 1831-position model. Lineage: Eukaryota; Fungi. The record is from RNAcentral.